Molecule: ribosomal RNA, 492 nt
Filed under: uncultured bacterium
Lineage: Bacteria
Description: partial 16S ribosomal RNA
Rfam family: Bacterial small subunit ribosomal RNA
Source: RNAcentral
AGUGAACGCUGGCGGUAGGCCUAACACAUGCAAGUCGAACGGCAGCACAGUAAAGGCUUGCUCUUACGGGUGGCGAGUGGCGGACGGGUGAGGAAUACAUCGGAAUCUACGGUUUCGGGGGGGAUAACGUAGGGAGACUUACGCGAAUAACGCAUACGACCUACGGGUGAAAGCAGGGGAUCUUAGGACCUUGCGGGAUUGAAUGCGCAGAGGUCGGAUUAGCUAGUUGGCGGGGUAAAGGCCCACCAAGGCGACGAGCCGUAGCAGGUCUGAGAGGAUGAUUACACACACUGGAAGUGAGACACGGUCCAGACUCUGACGGGAGGCAGCAGUGGGGAAUAUUGGGCAAUGGGCGAAAGCCUGAUCCAGCCAUACCGCGUGGGUGAAGAAGGCCUUCGGGUUGGAAAGCCCUGUUGGUGGGAAAGAAGAGCAGCAGGUUAACACCUCGCGGUUCUGACGGUACUCAAAGAAUAAGCACCGGCUAACUUCGUG